Molecule: long non-coding RNA, 1051 nt
Filed under: Gouania willdenowi (blunt-snouted clingfish)
Lineage: Eukaryota; Metazoa; Chordata; Actinopteri; Blenniiformes; Gobiesocidae
Description: lncRNA (ENSGWIG00000000662.1)
Source: RNAcentral
GCUUUAUGGACCACAGCGCUGUCCUGGAUGUGGAUCCACAACACGGGUCUUUGAUCCACAAAGCAAGAAUCAAGGCUGAGGACAGUCCCACCACAACAGAAAGCUUCAGCCCAUCAGCGUCCCACGCCCUGCCUGCCAACGAAGGCUUCAGUCGAGAACAAACGCUGUUCUUCAUCGACUUGAUGCGGCAACACCUGGAGACGGAAGCCGACGGCCUCCCAAAGACCCUGAAAGAGCUGAACUCUCGUCUGAAGUCUGCCAGGUCCAACUUGAGGAGCCUGUGGAAGGAGACGGCAGAGACGCUCAGCAGCCACUUCUCCGAAUCCUUCUGUCCUGAUAAAGUGGCUAGGAAGUGGAACACGCUGAUCGAGGCCUACAGAAAAAUAAAGGAGAACAACAAAGACACGGGAAGAGGAAACAUCCGCUUCCGUUUCUUUCCAGAGAUGGACGAGCUCCUAGCGGGGCAGCACGACGUGGUCUUCCCUGUGUUUGGCUCAUCAGUGCGGUUAAACGUGAGACCGGAGGUUCUUUGGCCCUCGGUUGUCGGCGGGUCCCUAACAGAGGCUGGCCCCGCCUCCAGCACCCACACGGCUCCGACACGGCCUCACAAGCGUCGGCGCGGACAAGAUGACGUCCUCCAGUUCCUCCGUGAGUCCGAGGAGGCCAGUCAGAGGCGCCACGAGGAGGCACAGCGGCGCCAUGAAGAACUGCUGACUCAGCUGAAGUCGGCCCAGCAUGGGUUCGAGAGCCUGAUGGGUCGACUCCUAGAGAAACUAUGAGUCAUCAUUGUUCACACUUUUUUAUACAGUUUACCUGAGGUUGUUUUCCUCUUUGUUUAUAAUUACAAGGAAAUAUUUUGUAUAUUUUAUUUUAAAAUAUUGAAUUAAAUUGUAAAAAAAACUCUGCUUGGCGUGUUGUUGUGGAUAAUUCACACAUUAAUAACCAUACAAAUGUUGUUUUUCCCCAAAAAAUCACGAUAAAAUGUAUAAACCAGUUUCAAUAUGGAUUAAAUUUGGCGAGAUAAUUGAGGAACGAACUCGACAUAACCGAG